RNAcentral lists this long non-coding RNA (1968 nucleotides) under Meleagris gallopavo (turkey). Its description in RNAcentral is "lncRNA (ENSMGAG00000020162.1)". Lineage: Eukaryota; Metazoa; Chordata; Aves; Galliformes; Phasianidae. The record is from RNAcentral.
AUGAGGAAGUUUAACACGUCGUUCAAGAAGCGGCCAAACUCACCAACUAAAAACAAGGCGUGCUCAGCCCGUCCCAAACACCUGGCGGCCCGGCCGUGGGGAUGCUCCGACACGAACGCGAUCCCCGACACCAAAGAAGGGCAGCAGAAGGGCCGUGCCUCAGAGGACAAGCAGGACACGCACUUGGAGAAAAUAGCCCUUAGUCUGCAAAGAAAGAAGAGAGAACAUUGGGCUGAGGAGCUACUCUUCUCACACCAAAAUGACUGGGGUCACACCAGAUGCUUGCCCAGCAUCAGUUGGAUGGGAGAUGUCUGGUAAGUCUCAUGCAAACUAUGUGUUUUCCUCUGCAGGAAGACACCUCCAACAGGUGACUACCUUGCCAGUGAGGUCCAAAAACAGCAGAAGUAUUCCUACAAAGUGUGAUUGGGCACAGAUGUGGCUUUCUUCAAUACAGUACCUUCUAGUAAAGGAAAGAAGCAGGAAGGUUUCUAUGGGAAUAUAUCAAUACUUAGAAAAUGAAAAUCAUGAACAUGGAAACAGAGGGACAUGUUUAGUUACCUAUUAGCAACAAUAAAACUUAUUUUCAUCUAAUGGUACUUUACUGCAGCUAGCAUUGUAUUGAGUGAAAAUACAUUUUUAUUACACUUUCAGCCUGGACACAGUGUACAUUUUCAUGUUUUUUUGUUGUUGUUGUUGUUUUGUUUUGAUGUUGUUUUGUUUUGUUUUGUUUUGUUUUCCCCCAUUACUCACAACUGCUGUAUGCACAUGCAAACAGCUCAACACCCCGAGGCAGCCUGCAGAGUUGCAGCCUUGCAGCCCUGCUUUGGGCUCACGCAGAGCUGAAAGGCUUGACAGGUAGCAGUUUGCAAAAGACAUAGAAGCUUGCACAGGGCCUUGCUUUGUUAGAGUAACUGGAGAUUAGCUUAGGCAAGGAGAGCAGGUCAAUGCCCUCUUGUUCUUCUCAGCAGAAAAUUCUUGUUUCACUUACUAACAGUUUAAAAUAGUGAGAACAGUCUCUGAUGGGGUUGUUCUGUUCAGUGUUGGGUGUGCCUGUGCUUCGAUGCCCUUAAAUAACCAGUAUCUUUCAAGUGGAGCUUACAAGAGUCUUCCACUGAUUUUUUUCUGUCUGGACUUUUUGGUGCCUGAUAUGACUAAAUCUGUGCUAAUUCUUUGGACCUCCAAGUUUGUGCACAUUAUUUUGUCUAUUCUGAUGUAUAUUUGCACAGAAGCUGCUGAAACAACUUUGGUUUUGAGAUUUGUAUUCCUUAACUAAUCUCAUAAAACAACCUAGCAAAAUAGAAUUUGACUUGGGAACAAAGAGAAGAGUGGAAAUGUGGAUGUAAUCAAAAUUCUGUUAAGAAAACUAAGUGGGAAAACAGUAUACAGUUAGAGCUUGCUUAAUCUCCCUUCCUCUCUCAAGCUAUAGUUUAGAAGUCUACAAUAUACUAUGGCUUUGUUAAACUUGAUUUAAACAGGUAGCCAUCACCACAACAAGCCAUCACUAGGUGCUGACUGGCAGAAUCAGCCAGAACUGCUUAAGAAGUUGCUGUCCACAGCAGUUGGAUGCCUCCAUUUGGUGAUAUUUAACACCUCAAAGCUGAAAAAGUGUCUUCAUUUAGGUCAACCACCAUCAACAUCAGUUCAGUCAGGCUGAUUUUGGACGGAAGUGGGUUACAGCAAGCUCUUAUGCCAGGUGCUGUAGGCAUGUGAAGCUUCAAAACACUGUAAUGAAAGGAACAUCUUAGAAUUGCAACUUCAACAACUCAAUCUGCUUUUGAAGUAAGUAUGUGUUUGCAUUUACCAACACCCAAUUCUGCAUAUUUUUGGACUGCCCUUAUUACUAAUCGUAAAUUACAAAGCUUUUCUGAAAACAGAACUAUGCCAUCCUACUGAGCACAUGGCCAGUAAUGUGCAAUUUAGCUGUUAUCAGAUAAUUGUGUUUGGGUGCUGUCUUAUAAGUUAAACUAA